Molecule: ribosomal RNA, 894 nt
Filed under: uncultured bacterium
Lineage: Bacteria
Description: bacterial SSU rRNA
Rfam family: Bacterial small subunit ribosomal RNA
Source: RNAcentral
AGAGUUUGAUCAUGGCUCAGGACGAACGCUGGCGGCGUGCUUAACACAUGCAAGUCGAACGAUGAAGCCCUUCUGGGUGGAUUAGUGGCGAACGGGUGAGUAACACGUGGGCAAUCUGCCCUGCACUCUGGGACAAGCCCUGGAAACGGGGUCUAAUACCGGAUACUGAUCGCCUUGGGCAUCCUUGGUGAUCGAAAGCUCCGGCGGUGCAGGAUGAGCCCGCGGCCUAUCAGCUUGUUGGUGAGGUAAUGGCUCACCAAGGCGACGACGGGUAGCCGGCCUGAGAGGGCGACCGGCCACACUGGGACUGAGACACGGCCCAGACUCCUACGGGAGGCAGCAGUGGGGAAUAUUGCACAAUGGGCGAAAGCCUGAUGCAGCGACGCCGCGUGAGGGAUGACGGCCUUCGGGUUGUAAACCUCUUUCAGCAGGGAAGAAGCGAAAGUGACGGUACCUGCAGAAGAAGCGCCGGCUAACUACGUGCCAGCAGCCGCGGUAAUACGUAGGGCGCGAGCGUUGUCCGGAAUUAUUGGGCGUAAAGAGCUCGUAGGCGGCUUGUCGCGUCGGUUGUGAAAGCCCGGGGCUUAACCCCGGGUCUGCAGUCGAUACGGGCAGGCUAGAGUUCGGUAGGGGAGAUCGGAAUUCCUGGUGUAGCGGUGAAAUGCGCAGAUAUCAGGAGGAACACCGGUGGCGAAGGCGGAUCUCUGGGCCGAUACUGACGCUGAGGAGCGAAAGCGUGGGGAGCGAACAGGAUUAGAUACCCUGGUAGUCCACGCCGUAAACGGUGGGCACUAGGUGUGGGCGACAUUCCACGUCGUCCGUGCCGCAGCUAACGCAUUAAGUGCCCCGCCUGGGGAGUACGGCCGCAAGGCUAAAACUCAAAGGAAUUGACGG